Molecule: long non-coding RNA, 383 nt
Organism: Magnolia sinica
Lineage: Eukaryota; Viridiplantae; Streptophyta; Magnoliopsida; Magnoliales; Magnoliaceae
Exons: 3
Source: RefSeq, a predicted model, not a curated record
CAUGGAUUGACAAUAGAUUCGGGUGCGGGAUCAGGGAAGCGUCCAUUUCAAAAUGUAAACAAGUGCAAAUGGGUAGGGAGUGGCAUUGCGAGUGAAAGUCCAAAGUGUGUUCAAAGCAGGAGCGACGCCUAAUUUGAUGGGUUCUGCAACUAAGCACCCACUAUGCAGUCAUCUGGAUGUGCCUUUUGCCAGCCUCAGCCAACUGGUCCUGGUCGAGUCAUCUAUGAAUAUGUAUGCUAACACUACAUGACAUUCUCGAAUCAGACCAUGCUACAAGGAUCGAUUUCUUGCUGCUUUGCCAGCACCUCGUCGAGCAAGUGCUGACUUCAGUCGGCCUGUUUUCACAGCCACUGCAUUCUACUUGUGUGUAAAAAGACACAAGG